GAUGAACGCUGGCGGCGUGCCUAAUACAUGCAAGUCGAGCGAACGGACGAGAAGCUUGCUUCUCUGAUGUUAGCGGCGGACGGGUGAGUAACACGUGGAUAACCUACCUAUAAGACUGGGAUAACUUCGGGAAACCGUAGCUAAUACCGGAUAAUAUUUUGAACCGCAUGGUUCAAAAGUGAAAGACGGUCUUGCUGUCACUUAUAGAUGGAUCCGCGCUGCAUUAGCUAGUUGGUAAGGUAACGGCUUACCAAGGCAACGAUGCAUAGCCGACCUGAGAGGGCGAUCGGCCACACUGGAACUGAGACACGGUCCAGACUCCUACGGGAGGCAGCAGUAGGGAAUCUUCCGCAAUGGGCGAAAGCCUGACGGAGCAACGCCGCGUGAGUGAUGAAGGUCUUCGGAUCGUAAAACUCUGUUAUUAGGGAAGAACAUAUGUGUAAGUAACUGUGCACAUCUUGACGGUACCUAAUCAGAAAGCCACGGCUAACUACGUGCCAGCAGCCGCGGUAAUACGUAGGUGGCAAGCGUUAUCCGGAAUUAUUGGGCGUAAAGCGCGCGUAGGCGGUUUUUUAAGUCUGAUGCGAAAGCCCACGGCUCAACCGUGGAGGGUCAUUGGAAACUGGAAAACUUGAGUGCAGAAGAGGAAAGUGGAAUUCCAUGUGUAGCGGUGAAAUGCGCAGAGAUAUGGAGGAACACCAGUGGCGAAGGCGACUUUCUGGUCUGUAACUGACGCUGAUGUGCGAAAGCGUGGGGAUCAAACAGGAUUAGAUACCCUGGUAGUCCACGCCGUAAACGAUGAGUGCUAAGUGUUAGGGGGUUUCCGCCCCUUAGUGCUGCAGCUAACGCAUUAAGCACUCCGCCUGGGGAGUACGACCGCAAGGUUGAAACUCAAAGGAAUUGACGGGGACCCGCACAAGCGGUGGAGCAUGUGGUUUAAUUCGAAGCAACGCGAAGAACCUUACCAAAUCUUGACAUCCUUUGACAACUCUAGAGAUAGAGCCUUCCCCUUCGGGGGACAAAGUGACAGGUGGUGCAUGGUUGUCGUCAGCUCGUGUCGUGAGAUGUUGGGUUAAGUCCCGCAACGAGCGCAACCCUUAAGCUUAGUUGCCAUCAUUAAGUUGGGCACUCUAAGUUGACUGCCGGUGACAAACCGGAGGAAGGUGGGGAUGACGUCAAAUCAUCAUGCCCCUUAUGAUUUGGGCUACACACGUGCUACAAUGGACAAUACAAAGGGCAGCGAAACCGCGAGGUCAAGCAAAUCCCAUAAAGUUGUUCUCAGUUCGGAUUGUAGUCUGCAACUCGACUACAUGAAGCUGGAAUCGCUAGUAAUCGUAGAUCAGCAUGCUACGGUGAAUACGUUCCCGGGUCU
RNAcentral lists this ribosomal RNA (1372 nucleotides) under uncultured bacterium. Its description in RNAcentral is "bacterial SSU rRNA". It matches the Rfam family "Bacterial small subunit ribosomal RNA", at positions 28 to 1381 of the family's 1533-position model. The record is from RNAcentral.